RNAcentral lists this long non-coding RNA (365 nucleotides) under Mus pahari (shrew mouse). RNAcentral's name for it is "lncRNA (MGP_PahariEiJ_G0005605.1)". The record is from RNAcentral. Lineage: Eukaryota; Metazoa; Chordata; Mammalia; Rodentia; Muridae.
UCUUCACUGGAAAGUACCUCUCGUGGAGAAAGUUCAUCAAGUUGCAGGUUGAGCUGAGGAAGCUGAACUCUACACACUGAUACCUGGAUGUGUGACCCUUGAACUUAGGCAACAUAGACAGGUCAAGAGGGCGGGUGAUGCUUUUUCUGCCUGCUAUGGCAACAGUAUCUGGCAAACAAUAGGCCCUCAGUAAACGGAGGGAAGGGCCAACAAGAUAGCUUUCUGGGUAAAGUUGCUUACAGCAGGACAACCUCAGUUUGAUCCUUAUGGAGAUGAGAACCAAGUCCCACACGUUGUCCUCUGACCUCCACACGUGUGCCGUGACAUGUGUGUCCCACAACUAAGUAAAUAAAUGAAGAGAUGAA